CGGGGAAUAUUGGACAAUGGGCGAAAGCCUGAUCCAGCCAUGCCGCGUGUGUGAAGAAGGUCUUCGGAUUGUAAAGCACUUUAAGUUGGGAGGAAGGGCAGUAAGCGAAUACCUUGCUGUUUUGACGUUACCGACAGAAUAAGCACCGGCUAACUCUGUGCCAGCAGCCGCGGUAAUACAGAGGGUGCAAGCGUUAAUCGGAAUUACUGGGCGUAAAGCGCGCGUAGGUGGUUCGUUAAGUUGAAUGUGAAAGCCCCGGGCUCAACCUGGGAACUGCAUCCAAAACUGGCGAGCUAGAGUAGGGCAGAGGGUGGUGGAAUUUCCUGUGUAGCGGUGAAAUGCGUAGAUAUAGGAAGGAACACCAGUGGCGAAGGCGACCACCUGGGCUCAUACUGACACUGAGGUGCGAAAGCGUGGGGAGCAAACAGG
This 429-nucleotide ribosomal RNA is filed under the name Pseudomonadota bacterium. RNAcentral's name for it is "Proteobacteria bacterium partial 16S ribosomal RNA". It matches the Rfam family "Bacterial small subunit ribosomal RNA", at positions 355 to 776 of the family's 1533-position model. The record is from RNAcentral. Lineage: Bacteria; Pseudomonadati; Pseudomonadota.